RNAcentral lists this ribosomal RNA (253 nucleotides) under uncultured bacterium. RNAcentral's name for it is "partial 16S ribosomal RNA". It matches the Rfam family "Bacterial small subunit ribosomal RNA", at positions 524 to 776 of the family's 1533-position model. The record is from RNAcentral.
UACGGAGGGUGCGAGCGUUGUUCGGAAUUACUGGGCGUAAAGCGCGUGUAGGCGGCCUUGUAAGUCGGAUGUGAAAGCCCUCGGCUUAACCGGGGAAGUGCAUCCGAAACUGCUUGGCUUGAGUACCGGAGAGGGAGGCGGAAUUCCCAGUGUAGAGGUGAAAUUCGUAGAUAUUGGGAGGAACACCGGUGGCGAAAGCGGCCUCCUGGACGGAUACUGACGCUGAGACGCGAAAGCGUGGGGAGCAAACAGG